AAGAAAUGGAGGAUUAUUCAUCCAUCUUCUUUCUCAUCUUCAUCCUCUUCCUUCUCUCCUCCUCAUCCUAAAUGGCUACUAAAUCCUCAAAAGAAAAACCUACACCCCUUCCCCUCCAAAGCUCCCAAUCAUCGGCCAUCUCCACCGCUCGGCACACACCAUCACCGCUCCCUUCAAUCCCUAUCACGCCCGCUACGGCCCCAUCAUGCUCCUCAAACUAGGAAGUUCUCCGGCUGUUGUGAUAUCUUCGCCGCCGCCGCUAACGAGAUCAUGAAAACACACGACCCUAGUAUCGCCAACCGCCCCGAUUUCAAGUCAACCACAAGCUCUCUAUACGACUGCAAAGAUAUCUCAGUGGCCCCCUUACGGAGAAUACUGGCGGCAGUUGAAGGUAUCUGCGUUCUUCAGUUGUCUGAGCAACCACAAAGUCAAAUCAUUUAGGUCUGUAAGGGAAGAAGGGAUCUUGUUGCUGAUUGAAAAGAUCGGAGAAUCGAGAAUGAAGAACAUCACGGUGAAUCUGAGUGAGAUGUUCUCCGAAGAUAGCUAAUGAUGUGGUGUGUAGGCGUCAUCUCGGGGAAAAUAUGAUGAGGGAGAGAAGGGGAGGAGAUUCAACAUGUUUUGAAAGAGUUUCUAAUGUUGUUGGGGACGGUGAAUGUCGAGGAUCUCUUACCGGGCUUAGUUGGAUCAAUAAGGUCAAUGGUCGGAAAACCGCCGUAGACAGGGGUGGCGGAGGAGAUGAACAAGUUCAUAGAGGAGGUUGUGGAGGAGAAGAUACAAAAAGAAAGGAUGAGAAAGUGGACGAUCAUGAUUUUGUUGAUAUUCUCUUAAGGGUUCAUCCUGAGUCAAGAAGUUGGUGUAUCUAUUGAGAGGGAUAGUGUGAAAGCCAUAAUCUUGGAUAUAUUUUCGGCUGGAACAGAUACAACAUCAACCAUCUUAGAAUGGGCGAUGACAGAACUCAUAAGAAACCCUUAAAGUAAUGAAGGAGUUACAAAAUGAGGUAAGAAAAGUUGGUAAUGGAAAAAUCAUGAUAACGAAGACGAUAUAGAAAAUAUGCCUUACUUAAGAGCCGUCAUAAAAGAAACUCUACGUUAUCACGUUCCUAUUCCACUUCUAUUGCCAAGGGUAGCGAGUCAAGAUGUGAAUGUCAUGGGCUAUGACAGAGAGGCAGGCACGAUCGUUCUUCAUCAACGGAUGGGCCAUAGCUGAGAUCCACUCUCGUGGAAGAUCCGGAAGAGUUUAAGCCCGAGAGGUUUCUCAACUGUGACGUUGAUUAUAAGGGGCAUCAUUUCGAGUUGAUCCCAUUUGGAGCGGGCAGAAGAGGUUGUCCGGGGAUUUCAUUUGGUAUCGCUACCAAAUGAGCUCACACUAGCCAACGUUGUCAACAAAUUCAAUUGGGAGUUGCCCGAUGGAAAAGAUGGUGAGGACUUAGACGUUGAGAAUGUAUUGGCGUCACGGUUCACGUAAAACCCAUCUUAUAGCUAUGGUAACUUAAAUGAAUCUUCUUAUCGGUAAUAAUCAUACAUUAUAUGUUUUAUUUUGCUGUGACCAUUUUGUAAUGGAGUGAUUUAUAUAUUAAC
Long non-coding RNA from Impatiens glandulifera, 1577 nucleotides. RefSeq lists it as uncharacterized. The transcript is spliced from 2 exons. The record is from RefSeq and is a predicted model, not a curated record. Lineage: Eukaryota; Viridiplantae; Streptophyta; Magnoliopsida; Ericales; Balsaminaceae.